This 462-nucleotide ribosomal RNA is filed under the name uncultured bacterium. RNAcentral's name for it is "bacterial SSU rRNA". It matches the Rfam family "Bacterial small subunit ribosomal RNA", at positions 240 to 694 of the family's 1533-position model. The record is from RNAcentral.
AUUAGCUAGUUGGUGGGGUAACGGCCUACCAAGGCGACGAUGCGUAGCCGACCUGAGAGGGUAAUCGGCCACAUUGGGACUGAGACACGGCCCAGACUCCUACGGGAGGCAGCAGUAGGGAAUCUUCGGCAGUGGGGGCAACCCUGACCGAGCAACGCCGCGUGAGUGAAGAAGGUUUUCGGAUCGUAAAGCUCUGUUGUAAGAGAAGAACGUGUGUGAGAGUGGAAAGUUCACACAGUGACGGUAACUAACCAGAAAGGGACGGCUAACUACGUGCCAGCAGCCGCGGUAAUACGUAGGUCCCGAGCGUUGUCCGGAUUUAUUGGGCGUAAAGCGAGCGCAGGCGGUUCUGUAAGUCUGAAGUUAAAGGCAGUGGCUUAACCAUUGUACGCUUUGGAAACUGCAGGACUUGAGUGCAGAAGGGGAGAGUGGAAUUCCAUGUGUAGCGGUGAAAUGCGUAGA